This 453-nucleotide ribosomal RNA is filed under the name uncultured bacterium. RNAcentral describes it as "bacterial SSU rRNA". It matches the Rfam family "Bacterial small subunit ribosomal RNA", at positions 29 to 506 of the family's 1533-position model. The record is from RNAcentral.
AUGAACGCUUGCGGCGCGCCUAAAACAUGCAAGUCGAACGAACCCAAUCUUCGGAAAGGGUUAGUGGCAGACGGGUGAGUAACACGUGGGUGACCUGCCCUAGAGUGGGGGAUAACUACCCGAAAGGGUGGCUAAUACCGCAUACGCUUACUGAUUCAUUUCAGCAAGUAAAACUACGGUGCUCUGGGAGGGGCCCGCGGCCGAUUAGCUAGUUGGUGAGGUAAUGGCCCACCAAGGCUCUGAUCGGUAGCUGGUCUGAGAGGAUGAUCAGCCACACUGGCACUGAGACACGGGCCAGACUCCUACGGGAGGCAGCAGUUAGGAAUAUUGGACAAUGGGCGAAAGCCUGAUCCAGCGACGCCGCGUGGGUGAUGAAGGCCUUCGGGUCGUAAAGCCCUUUUCUGGGGGAAGAGGAAGGACGGUACCCCAGGAAUAAGUCUCGGCUAACUACGU